UUUGUAGUUAGAUGUUCAAAAUCCAGCUCCUAAAAAAAAUUGCCAUCUAAUCCUCAAGAUUCUUGAAGUCCACAAAUAUUCAUUUUUCCAAUGUAAAAAAAUUGCCUGGAUGCUUGAAGUUUUACCCUGGAUGAUAUGUCAUCUGAAAAAACCUCAGCAAUUAUUUCGCAUUAAGCCAUGUAAUGCUCUGUAAAGUGGUGUUUCCCAGCCUGGGACUCAACCUGAGAUCUCUAUUAGGUGUGCCUGCCUGGACCUGAGUGCUGCUGUUGCAGGGGUACCAGGGGUCUCCACUGCCUGUAUGCCUGCCUGGCCAGAUCCUGGAGAGAGCAAUGGGGACCAGAGGGACCACAAGGUACAAAACCAACUUAUAACUGGAGAUACCAAAGGAUGCAUUUGAAAACUAUACCCAACCCUCGGUAAGUGCGAGGAUGAUAUGCAUCCUCUCAGCGUAUGAAUUAUUUAUUUACAAUAUUGAUGCUUGAGAAAAUUAGAAAUCGGUACCCAUCAGAAGUGCAUAUAUGACAUAGUGUGAUAAAUGAGUGUUCUAAAGUGCUUUGCUUUCAUAAAGAAUUCUUAUAAAUCUUAAUGAAAUAUCG
RNAcentral lists this long non-coding RNA (596 nucleotides) under Phasianus colchicus (ring-necked pheasant). RNAcentral's name for it is "lncRNA (ENSPCLG00000000884.1)". Lineage: Eukaryota; Metazoa; Chordata; Aves; Galliformes; Phasianidae. The record is from RNAcentral.